GACAGAGGGUGCAAACGUUGCUCGGAAUUACUGGGCGUAAAGCGCGUGUAGGCGAAUCGGAAAGUCGGGCGUGAAAUCCCCAGGCUCAACCUGGGAACUGCACCCGAAACUCCCGGUCUUGAGUGGUGGAGAGGGAAGUGGAAUUCCUGGUGUAGAGGUGAAAUUCGUAGAUAUCAGGAGGAACACCAGUGGCGAAGGCGGCUUCCUGGACACCAACUGACGCUGAGACGCGAAAGCGUGGGGAGCAAACAGG
Molecule: ribosomal RNA, 253 nt
Filed under: uncultured bacterium
Lineage: Bacteria
Description: partial 16S ribosomal RNA
Rfam family: Bacterial small subunit ribosomal RNA
Source: RNAcentral